Non-coding RNA from Ictidomys tridecemlineatus (thirteen-lined ground squirrel), 602 nucleotides. Lineage: Eukaryota; Metazoa; Chordata; Mammalia; Rodentia; Sciuridae. The record is from RefSeq and is a predicted model, not a curated record.
UAUUUGAUUUCUAAUUUGGUCUACCCAUAAUGUGAUGAGUAAAUAUUUUCAUUCAAGCACAAUAACAUAUUUUUGACCCUGUUUUUCAGAUGAGAAAAUAAGGAGCCUGAGAGGUGCCUACUCAGGAUCUUACAGCUUCUCAGGUGUGGAACUGGCUUUUCAGCUGAUGCAGCAUCCAUGAUUCCGACUACCUCGGAUGUGAACUUGAACCAUGUCUGACCUUUUGGAGAUUUCAUGAAAACAAGUUUUAUUGGCUUUCCUUUUGCUGUGGUUCUUCUCCAUCUCUUCUCGCUUGAUCUUCACAAAGUUUCUGGCCUCCGCUGUCUUCUUCAUGCUGAGGUUUCCUACAUCUCCUCCACACAGAUCUCUCCUAAAUGUUUGGUCAAGAAUCGGGCAAGUCAGCACAAUCUCUCUGAAGCCUGUCCUAUGUACCACAGCACUUCAUACAGUCCCCAGCUGCUUUCCUCUGCCACACUCCCCUGCCAUGAUGGCCCACCUUGCCUCAGGCCCAGAGCUAUAGAGUGGGCCAUCUGUGGCUGAGACCUCUCCUCUGAAAUCUUGAGCUGCCAAAUAAACUUAUCUUCCUCAAAAAUUUUUUCAUA